AGAGUUUGAUCCGGCUCAGGACGAACGCUGGCGGCGUGCUUAACACAUGCAAGUCGAGCGAUGAAGCUUCCUUCGGGAAGUGGAUUAGCGGCGGACGGGUGAGUAACACGUGGGUAACCUACCUCAAAGUGGGGGAUAGCCUCCCGAAAGGGAGAUUAAUACCGCAUAAUAUAAGAAAAUCGCAUGAUUAUCUUAUCAAAGAUUUAUCGCUUUGAGAUGGACCCGCGGCGCAUUAGCUAGUUGGUGGGGUAACGGCCUACCAAGGCAACGAUGCGUAGCCGACCUGAGAGGGUGAUCGGCCACAUUGGAACUGAGACACGGUCCAGACUCCUACGGGAGGCAGCAGUGGGGAAUAUUGCGCAAUGGGGGAAACCCUGACGCAGCAACGCCGCGUGGGUGAUGAAGGUCUUCGGAUUGUAAAGCCCUGUUUUCUGGGACGAUAAUGACGGUACCAGAGGAGGAAGCCACGGCUAACUACGUGCCAGCAGCCGCGGUAAUACGUAGGUGGCGAGCGUUGUCCGGAUUUACUGGGCGUAAAGGGUGCGUAGGCGGAUGUUUAAGUGGGAUGUGAAAUCCCCGGGCUUAACCUGGGGGCUGCAUUCCAAACUGGAUAUCUAGAGUGCAGGAGAGGAAAGCGGAAUUCCUAGUGUAGCGGUGAAAUGCGUAGAGAUUAGGAAGAACACCAGUGGCGAAGGCGGCUUUCUGGACUGUAACUGACGCUGAGGCACGAAAGCGUGGGUAGCAAACAGGAUUAGAUACCCUGGUAGUCCACGCCCGUAAACGAUGGAUACUAGGUGUAGGGGGG
Molecule: ribosomal RNA, 805 nt
Filed under: bacterium enrichment culture
Lineage: Bacteria
Description: bacterial SSU rRNA
Rfam family: Bacterial small subunit ribosomal RNA
Source: RNAcentral